CGCCGGAAGACCAAGGGUUCCUGUCCAACGUUAAUCGGGGCAGGGUGAGUCGACCCCUAAGGCGAGGCCGAAAGGCGUAGUCGAUGGGAAACGGGUUAAUAUUCCCGUACUUGGUGUUACUGCGAAGGGGGGACGGAGAAGGCUAUGUUGGCCGGGCGACGGUUGUCCCGGUUUAAGCGUGUAGGUGUGUGUUCCAGGUAAAUCCGGUUCACUUUAACACUGAGGCGUGACGACGAGGCACUACGGUGCUGAAGCAACAAAUGCCCUGCUUCCAGGAAAAGCCUCUAAGCAUCAGGUAACAUCAAAUCGUACCCCAAACCGACACAGGUGGUCAGGUAGAGAAUACCAAGGCGCUUGAGAGAACUCGGGUGAAGGAACUAGGCAAAAUGGUGCCGUAACUUCGGGAGAAGGCACGCUGACACGUAGGUGAAGUGAUUUACUCAUGGAGCUGAAGUCAGUCGAAGAUACCAGCUGGCUGCAACUGUUUAUUAAAAACACAGCACUGUGCAAACACGAAAGUGGACGUAUACGGUGUGACGCCUGCCCGGUGCCGGAAGGUUAAUUGAUGGGGUCAGCGCAAGCGAAGCUCCUGAUCGAAGCCCCGGUAAACGGCGGCCGUAACUAUAACGGUCCUAAGGUAGCGAAAUUCCUUGUCGGGUAAGUUCCGACCUGCACGAAUGGCGUAAUGAUGGCCAGGCUGUCUCCACCCGAGACUCAGUGAAAUUGAACUCGCUGUGAAGAUGCAGUGUACCCGCGGCAAGACGGAAAGACCCCGUGAACCUUUACUAUAGCUUGACACUGAACAUUGAGCCUUGAUGUGUAGGAUAGGUGGGAGGCUUUGAAGCGUGGACGCCAGUCUGCGUGGAGCCGACCUUGAAAUACCACCCUUUAAUGUUUGAUGUUCUAACGUGGACCCGUUACCCGGGUUGCGGACAGUGUCUGGUGGGUAGUUUGACUGGGGCGGUCUCCUCCUAAAGAGUAACGGAGGAGCACGAAGGUUGGCUAAUCCUGGUCGGACAUCAGGAGGUUAGUGCAAUGGCAUAAGCCAGCUUGACUGCGAGCGUGACGGCGCGAGCAGGUGCGAAAGCAGGUCAUAGUGAUCCGGUGGUUCUGAAUGGAAGGGCCAUCGCUCAACGGAUAAAAGGUACUCCGGGGAUAACAGGCUGAUACCGCCCAAGAGUUCAUAUCGACGGCGGUGUUUGGCACCUCGAUGUCGGCUCAUCACAUCCUGGGGCUGAAGUAGGUCCCAAGGGUAUGGCUGUUCGCCAUUUAAAGUGGUACGCGAGCUGGGUUUAGAACGUCGUGAGACAGUUCGGUCCCUAUCUGCCGUGGGCGCUGGAGAACUGAGGGGGGCUGCUCCUAGUACGAGAGGACCGGAGUGGACGCAUCACUGGUGUUCGGGUUGUCAUGCCAAUGGCACUGCCCGGUAGCUAAAUGCGGAAGAGAUAAGUGCUGAAAGCAUCUAAGCACGAAACUUGCCCCGAGAUGAGUUCU
This 1494-nucleotide ribosomal RNA is filed under the name Salmonella enterica subsp. enterica serovar Oslo. Its description in RNAcentral is "bacterial LSU rRNA". It matches the Rfam family "Bacterial large subunit ribosomal RNA", at positions 1335 to 2812 of the family's 2925-position model. Lineage: Bacteria; Pseudomonadati; Pseudomonadota; Gammaproteobacteria; Enterobacterales; Enterobacteriaceae. The record is from RNAcentral.